GACGAACGCUGGCGGCGUGCUUAACACAUGCAAGUCGAACGGUGAAGCGCCUUCCUUUUUGGUGGGUGUGGAUGAGUGGCGAACGGGUGAGUAACACGUUAGUAACCUGCCCCCUUCUUCUGGAUAACCGCAUGAAAGUGUGGCUAAUACGGGAUAUUCUGGGUCUGUCGCAUGAUGGGUCUGGGAAAGAUAUUGUUUCGGUGGGGGAUGGGCUCGCGGCCUAUCAGCUUGUUGGUGGGGUGAUGGCCUACCAAGGCGGUGACGGGUAGCCGGCCUGAGAGGGUGGACGGUCACACUGGGACUGAGACACGGCGCAGACUCCGACGGGAGGCAGCAGUGGGGAAUAUUGCACAGUGGGCGCAAGCCUGAUGCAGCGACGCCGCGUGAGGGAUGGAGGCCUUCGGGUUGUGAACCUCUUUCGCCAGUGAAGCAGGCCUGCCUCGUUUGUGGGUGGGUUGACGGUAGCUGGAUAAGAAGCGCCGGCUAACUACGUG
RNAcentral lists this ribosomal RNA (494 nucleotides) under uncultured bacterium. Its description in RNAcentral is "partial 16S ribosomal RNA". It matches the Rfam family "Bacterial small subunit ribosomal RNA", at positions 28 to 507 of the family's 1533-position model. The record is from RNAcentral.